Molecule: ribosomal RNA, 465 nt
Filed under: Vreelandella stevensii
Lineage: Bacteria; Pseudomonadati; Pseudomonadota; Gammaproteobacteria; Oceanospirillales; Halomonadaceae
Description: partial 16S ribosomal RNA
Rfam family: Bacterial small subunit ribosomal RNA
Source: RNAcentral
CCUACGGGGGGCAGCAGCGGGGAAUAUUGGACAAUGGGCGAAAGCCUGAUCCAGCCAUGCCGCGUGUGUGAAGAAGGCCUUCGGGUUGUAAAGCACUUUCAGUGGGGAAGAAAGCCUUGGGGCUAAUACCCUCGAGGAAGGACAUCACCCACAGAAGAAGCACCGGCUAACUCCGUGCCAGCAGCCGCGGUAAUACGGAGGGUGCGAGCGUUAAUCGGAAUUACUGGGCGUAAAGCGCGCGUAGGCGGUCUGAUAAGCCGGUUGUGAAAGCCCCGGGCUCAACCUGGGAACGGCAUCCGGAACUGUCAGGCUAGAGUGCAGGAGAGGAAGGUAGAAUUCCCGGUGUAGCGGUGAAAUGCGUAGAGAUCGGGAGGAAUACCAGUGGCGAAGGCGGCCUUCUGGACUGACACUGACGCUGAGGUGCGAAAGCGUGGGUAGCAAACAGGAUUAGAUACCCGAGUAGUC